Colossoma macropomum (tambaqui) is the source of this 465-nucleotide long non-coding RNA. RefSeq lists it as uncharacterized. The transcript has 3 exons. The record is from RefSeq and is a predicted model, not a curated record. NCBI's taxonomy places the organism in Eukaryota, Metazoa, Chordata, Actinopteri, Characiformes, Serrasalmidae.
AGCGAUUAUAAAGUCUGUGUUGUGGCCUUCAGGACGGAGCAACAUCGAGAAAAAAAAACAAAAACACCAGCAACACCUGCGGGUUUCCCACAGAUAAAAACGCGACAGGGUAGACCAAUAAAAUAAAUCGUAGGCGGAAAACGUAAGCGACACAUACUAAUUUAAAGACGCGUAGAAAUGUGAUGAUUUUAGAUAAAUGAAAAGAAGACGUGGGCGGAGUUGGAUCAGGUCCGGCUCCACCCCUUUGGACUUGUGGUUCUGCAGCGAGUGAUAGUUGGUUGGAGGGGCUUCUGGAAACUUCGGAGGCUUCGAGACGCGUUUGUUACCUGCACGUCCUUCGUACACCAGCAGCAUCUUUCAGAUGCAGCCAUGAAGAAACCACAGUAACAGUCACGCUGCAGGAUGACUUUAGAGAUUGUAGUCCAUCUGUUUCUCUGCAUAAUUUGUUUACCCUUUUACCCUGUU